RNAcentral lists this long non-coding RNA (899 nucleotides) under Ananas comosus (pineapple). RNAcentral describes it as "long non-coding RNA (ACOM_LNC036078)". The record is from RNAcentral. Lineage: Eukaryota; Viridiplantae; Streptophyta; Magnoliopsida; Poales; Bromeliaceae.
UAAAGCUGGAGUUAGGAUUCUAUAUUAUCCAUAGUAUCAGGCUUCCGGUACUAGCUAUAAUUUCGUUUUCGAUUUUAGAGUGUUUAAAUUAUAGAUUCAUACUGUUAAAAUUGAUUUAGAAUAUUUAAAAUUUUUAAAAAUAAAAUUUUAUAUUUUUUUGAUAUAAUUUACUUUAUGAUAAAAUCAUUUCAAACUCGUCAAUUUUUAAUGAUUAUUAUGGUAAGUUUGUAGUUUAACGGUAUAGAAGAAUAUAAAUUUAUUCAAAUUUUAACAGAAAAUACUUUAAACCAUCUAGAUCAAGAUCAAGAACAACAGCCUUGAUCUUGAAUUUAAAAGUUUAAAAGCCCUAUUCUCAAAUUUUAAAAAUUAUUCAAUUUUCACUGUUUAUUUUGACAUGAUCUAUUUACUAUGUAAACGAUGUCGAAAAAAAUUUGAUUUAUUUACUAAGUAAAUAAUAUUGAAAAAAAUUAAAAUUUUAUUACUAAGAACUUUAUAUACUCUAAAUUAUAUUUGACGGUGUGGAUAGUUAAUUUGAAUACCAUAAAAUAAAAAACAAGACUAUAGUACCGAAGCUCUGGUAUUAUAGAUAGUAUAGUAGCCUCAUUUAAGGUUUUUGCCGUUAGAUCUAUUUUUUUGAUUAUUUUCGUCCAUUAAAUUAUAUUAUUUAACCACCUGUCCACUUAACUCUAGAAGAUCACUAUUAUCCUAACAGCACAUUCAUUAAUUUAAGGACAAAAAACUAAUAAGCGCCAAUGUCUUAGUACUUUUAAAAGUACAUGAGCACAAUUAUAUAAUAACUAUAAUUAAUGAUUCUAAAUGAGGAUAAUAAUGUUGGAGGGAGCCUUGAAUUCAUAAAAAAAAAUUAGUAAUUAAAUAAAAAGAAGAAUAUGUUGAGGAAU